Molecule: transfer RNA, 67 nt
Filed under: Paroedura gracilis
Lineage: Eukaryota; Metazoa; Chordata; Lepidosauria; Squamata; Gekkonidae
Description: tRNA-Ala
Rfam family: tRNA
About the family: Transfer RNA (tRNA) molecules are approximately 80 nucleotides in length. Their secondary structure includes four short double-helical elements and three loops (D, anti-codon, and T loops). Further hydrogen bonds mediate the characteristic L-shaped molecular structure. tRNAs have two regions of fundamental functional importance: the anti-codon, which is responsible for specific mRNA codon recognition, and the 3' end, to which the tRNAs corresponding amino acid is attached (by aminoacyl-tRNA synthetases). tRNAs cope with the degeneracy of the genetic code in two manners: having more than one tRNA (with a specific anti-codon) for a particular amino acid; and 'wobble' base-pairing, i.e. permitting non-standard base-pairing at the 3rd anti-codon position.
Source: RNAcentral
AAGGCUUUAGCUUAAUUAAAGUGUCUGAGUUGCAAUCAGAGGAUGUGUGUUAAAAUAAUACAGGCCU